GCUUUGAUGGAUGGCGACCGGCGCACGGGUGAGUAACACGUAUCCAACCUGCCGACAACACUGGGAUAGCCUUUCGAAAGAAAGAUUAAUACCGGAUGGCAUAAUUAUUCCGCAUGGGAUAAUUAUUAAAGAAUUUCGGUUGUCGAUGGGGAUGCGUUCCAUUAGGCAGUUGGCGGGGUAACGGCCCACCAAACCUACGAUGGAUAGGGGUUCUGAGAGGAAGGUCCCCCACAUUGGAACUGAGACACGGUCCAAACUCCUACGGGAGGCAGCAGUGAGGAAUAUUGGUCAAUGGACGAGAGUCUGAACCAGCCAAGUAGCGUGAAGGAUGACUGCCCUAUGGGUUGUAAACUUCUUUUAUACGGGAAUAAAGUGAGCCACGUGUGGCUUUUUGUAUGUACCGUAUGAAUAAGGAUCGGCUAACUCCGUGCCAGCAGCCGCGGUAAUACGGAGGAUCCGAGCGUUAUCCGGAUUUAUUGGGUUUAAAGGGAGCGUAGGCGGGUUGUUUAAGUCAGUUGUGAAAAGUUUGCGGCUCAACCGUAAAAUUGCAGUUGAUACUGGCGACCUUGAGUGCAACAGAGGUAGGCGGAAUUCCUGGUGUAGCGGUGAAAUGCUUAAAUAUCACGAAGAACUCCGAUUGCGAAGGCAGCUUACUGGAUUGUAACUGAC
RNAcentral lists this ribosomal RNA (669 nucleotides) under uncultured bacterium. RNAcentral describes it as "bacterial SSU rRNA". It matches the Rfam family "Bacterial small subunit ribosomal RNA", at positions 77 to 744 of the family's 1533-position model. The record is from RNAcentral.